UACGUAGGGUGCGAGCGUUAAUCGGAAUUACUGGGCGUAAAGCGUGCGCAGGCGGUUCGUUGUGUCGGCGGUGAAAGCCCCGGGCUCAACUUGGGAAUUGCGCUCGAAACUACGUGGCUCGAGUGUGGCAGAGGAAGGUGGAAUUCCACGUGUAGCGGUGAAAUGCGUAGAGAUGUGGAGGAACACCGAUGGCGAAGGCAGCCUUCUGGGCCAACACUGACGCUCAUGCACGAAAGCGUGGGGAGCAAACAGG
This 253-nucleotide ribosomal RNA is filed under the name uncultured bacterium. RNAcentral describes it as "partial 16S ribosomal RNA". It matches the Rfam family "Bacterial small subunit ribosomal RNA", at positions 524 to 776 of the family's 1533-position model. The record is from RNAcentral.